This 497-nucleotide ribosomal RNA is filed under the name uncultured bacterium. RNAcentral describes it as "partial 16S ribosomal RNA". It matches the Rfam family "Bacterial small subunit ribosomal RNA", at positions 28 to 507 of the family's 1533-position model. The record is from RNAcentral.
GAUGAACGCUGGCGGCGUGCCUAAUACAUGCCAGUCGAGCGAACAGACGAGGAGCUUGCUCCUCUGACGUUAGCGGCGGACGGGUGAGUAACACGUGGAUAACCUACCUAUCAGACUGGGAUAACUUCGGGAAACCGGAGCUAAUACCGGAUAAUAUAUUGAACCGCAUGGUUCAAUAGUGAAAGACGGUUUUGCUGUCACUUAUAGAUGGAUCCGCGCCGCAUUAGCUAGUUGGUAAGGUAACGGCUUACCAAGGCAACGAUGCGUAGCCGACCUGAGAGGGUGGUCGGCCACACUGGAACUGAGACACGGUCCAGACUCCUACGGGAGGCAGCAGUAGGGAAUCUUACGCAAUGGGCGAAAGCCUGACGGAGCAACGCCGCGUGAGUGAUGAAGGUCUUCGGAUCGUAAAACUCUGUUAUUAGGGAAGAACAAAUGUGUAAGUAACUAUGCACGUCUUGACGGUACCUAAUCAGAAAGCCACGGCUAACUACGUG